This 1073-nucleotide long non-coding RNA is filed under the name Capra hircus (goat). Its description in RNAcentral is "lncRNA (ENSCHIG00010000528.1)". Lineage: Eukaryota; Metazoa; Chordata; Mammalia; Artiodactyla; Bovidae. The record is from RNAcentral.
AUGAAAGCUCUUCAAAUCCUCCAAAGAAUUCUGUUUGACCCAGUGAUACUCCAAAAUUGGAAUUUAAACCACACCCCAUGUGGCUUCAUGGGUAGAAAGGUAGUGAAGAGGAUGUUGCUGGAAAAUGCGGGUGGAAGUGGAGAGAGGGCUACGUCUCCAUGUCAUCCUUUUGGUUGCAGUAGGGAGAAGGGGAAUUUUUUUCUUUGGUCUCACUAAGGAUCUGAAGUGAAGCCCAGGGAUCAUUAUUACUUUUAAAAUACUUAUUUCUUUGGCUGCACCUGGUCUUAGUUGUGGUAUGUUGGUUCUUUGAUCUUCCUUGCAGCAUGUGGGAUAUAGUUCUCUGAUCAGGGGUCAAACCUGGGCCCCCUUGGGAGCGUUGAGUCAUAGCCACUGAACCACCCAGGAGGUCCCUCCCCAGUGAUGAUGAUGAUGAUGAUGAUUUUAAUUUUUAUGGAGGUUUAGCUGAUUUACAAUGUUGUGUUAGUUUCAGGUGUACAACAAAGUGAAUCUCUUACACAUAUAUCCACUCAGUGGGCAACAAGGUCAUUAUGUUUUGUGCUUGAGAAACCAACAUCUGUUGAGUAGAACAAGACAUAAUUCUGAAGCUGCCAAAUUGAGGGCAUCUCCCACCAUCCUGGGGCCCACCCCAGAAGCUCCAGUGAGACUUCUCCUGAUUCCCAAUGGUAAGGCUAUUUCCUUUUAUAAGGGCUUUAUUUUUAUCUCAGGAGCCACUAGUUUGACUGUUCUUGUGAUCCACGGAGCUGUCUGGAUUCUCUGAAUUAGGCUGUAAGUGGGGAAGGCCAAAUACCGCAUACUGCAUACCGCAAAGAAAGAUUCACUGACCUACUGCCAGACUCAUGAAGAGAUGAGGAAUUCCUGGCUGGGCAUUUCACAUACCCUACCAAAUAAGAUGCUACACCCAGAGUGUCUGAUUUGGCCUUUUAUCUGGUCUUGUCCUCAGAAUUUGAGUUAUCUUAAGUGGAAAUAUUCUAGGUAGUCAGACACCUGUUUAUAAUGCUUCCUUUGGAAGAAAAGUUAUGACCAAUCUAGACAGCAUAUUGAAAAACAGAGAC